RNAcentral lists this ribosomal RNA (452 nucleotides) under uncultured bacterium. RNAcentral's name for it is "bacterial SSU rRNA". It matches the Rfam family "Bacterial small subunit ribosomal RNA", at positions 340 to 786 of the family's 1533-position model. The record is from RNAcentral.
UACGGGAGGCAGCAGUGGGGAAUAUUGCACAAUGGGCGCAAGCCUGAUGCAGCCAUGCCGCGUGUAUGAAGAAGGCCUUCGGGUUGUAAAGUACUUUCAGUCGUGAGGAAGGUGUUAAGGUUAAUAACCUUAGCAAUUGACGUUAGCGACAGAAGAAGCACCGGCUAACUCCGUGCCAGCAGCCGCGGUAAUACGGAGGGUGCGAGCGUUAAUCGGAAUUACUGGGCGUAAAGGGCACGCAGGCGGUUAAUUAAGUUGGAUGUGAAAUCCCCGGGCUUAACCUGGGAAUGGCAUUCAAGACUGGUUAGCUAGAGUCUUGUAGAGGGGGUAGAAUUCCAUGUGUAGCGGUGAAAUGCGUAGAGAUGUGGAGGAUACCGGUGGCGAAGGCGGCCCCUGGACAAAGACUGACGCUCAUGUGCGAAAGCGUGGGGAGCAAACAGGGAUUAGAUACC